GACGAACGCUGGCGGCGUGCUUAACACAUGCAAGUCGAACGAUGAAGCCGGAGCUUGCUCUGGUGAAUUAGUGGCGAACGGGUGAGUAACACGUGAGUAACCUGCCCUUGACUCUGGGAUAACUGCGGGAAACUGUAGCUAAUACCGGAUACGACCCUCGGAGGCAUCUCCUGGGGGUGGAAAGAAUUUCGGUCAAGGAUGGACUCGCGGCCUAUCAGCUAGUUGGUGAGGUAAAGGCUCACCAAGGCGACGACGGGUAGCCGGCCUGAGAGGGUGGCCGGCCACACCGGGACUGAGACACGGCCCAGACUCCUACGGGAGGCAGCAGUGGGGAAUAUUGCACAAUGGGCGCAAGCCUGAUGCAGCAACGCCGCGUGAGGGAUGACGGCCUUCGGGUUGUAAACCUCUUUUAGCAGGGAAGAAGCGAAAGUGACGGUACCUGCAGAAAAAGCACCGGCUAACUACGUGCCAGCAGCCGCGGUAA
Molecule: ribosomal RNA, 484 nt
Filed under: uncultured bacterium
Lineage: Bacteria
Description: partial 16S ribosomal RNA
Rfam family: Bacterial small subunit ribosomal RNA
Source: RNAcentral